This 496-nucleotide ribosomal RNA is filed under the name uncultured bacterium. RNAcentral describes it as "bacterial SSU rRNA". It matches the Rfam family "Bacterial small subunit ribosomal RNA", at positions 56 to 527 of the family's 1533-position model. The record is from RNAcentral.
UGCAGUCGAACGAGAACCUCGGGCUUGCUCGAGGGAGUAAAGUGGCGCACGGGUGAGUAACGCGUGGGUAACCUGCCCUUGGAUCGGGGAUAACUUCGCGAAAGCGUAGCUAAUACCGGAUAAUGUCCUGUUGACUUCGGUCUUCAGGAUGAAAGAUGACCUCUUCAUGAAAGUUGUCGUUCAGGGAGGGGCCCGCGUACCAUUAGCUUGUUGGUGGGGUAAUGGCCCACCAAGGCAACGAUGGUUAGCUGGUCUGAGAGGAUGAUCAGCCACACUGGAACUGAAACACGGUCCAGACUCCUACGGGAGGCAGCAGUGAGGAAUUUUGCGCAAUGGGGGAAACCCUGACGCAGCAACGCCGCGUGAGUGAAGAAGGCUUUCGGGUCGUAAAGCUCUGUCAAGUGGGAAAAAAAGCUCUCGAUUAAUAGUCGGGAGACCUGAUGGUACCACUGGAGGAAGCACCGGCUAACUCCGUGCCAGCAGCCGCGGUAAUACG